RNAcentral lists this ribosomal RNA (1070 nucleotides) under uncultured Moraxellaceae bacterium. RNAcentral's name for it is "bacterial SSU rRNA". It matches the Rfam family "Bacterial small subunit ribosomal RNA", at positions 336 to 1397 of the family's 1533-position model. Lineage: Bacteria; Pseudomonadati; Pseudomonadota; Gammaproteobacteria; Moraxellales; Moraxellaceae. The record is from RNAcentral.
CUCCUACGGGAGGCAGCAGUGGGGAAUAUUGGACAAUGGGGGGAACCCUGAUCCAGCCAUGCCGCGUGUGUGAAGAAGGCCUUAUGGUUGUAAAGCACUUUAAGCGAGGAGGAGGCUACUUUAGUUAAUACCUAGAGAUAGUGGACGUUACUCGCAGAAUAAGCACCGGCUAACUCUGUGCCAGCAGCCGCGGUAAUACAGAGGGUGCGAGCGUUAAUCGGAAUUACUGGGCGUAAAGCGAGUGUAGGUGGCUCAUUAAGUCACAUGUGAAAUCCCCGGGCUCAACCUGGGAACUGCAUCCAAAACUGUCUGGCUAGAGUGCGGUAGAGGGUAGUGGAAUUUCCAGUGUAGCGGUGAAAUGCGUAGAUAUUGGAAGGAACACCAGUGGCGAAGGCGACUACCUGGACUGACACUGACACUGAGGUGCGAAAGCGUGGGUAGCAAACAGGAUUAGAUACCCUGGUAGUCCACGCCGUAAACGAUGUCUACUAGCCGUUGGGGUCCUUGAGACUUUAGUGGCGCAGUUAACGCGAUAAGUAGACCGCCUGGGGAGUACGGCCGCAAGGUUAAAACUCAAAUGAAUUGACGGGGGCCCGCACAAGCGGUGGAGCAUGUGGUUUAAUUCGAUGCAACGCGAAGAACCUUACCUGGUCUUGACAUAGUGAGAAUCCUGCAGAGAUGCGGGAGUGCCUUCGGGAAUUCACAUACAGGUGCUGCAUGGCUGUCGUCAGCUCGUGUCGUGAGAUGUUGGGUUAAGUCCCGCAACGAGCGCAACCCUUUUCCUUAUUUGCCAGCGGGUUAAGCCGGGAACUUUAAGGAUACUGCCAGUGACAAACUGGAGGAGGGCGGGGACGACGUCAAGUCAUCAUGGCCCUUACGACCAGGGCUACACACGUGCUACAAUGGUAGGUACAGAGGGUUGCUACACAGCGAUGUGAUGCUAAUCUCAAAAAGCCUAUCGUAGUCCGGAUUGGAGUCUGCAACUCGACUCCAUGAAGUCGGAAUCGCUAGUAAUCGCAGAUCAGAAUGCUGCGGUGAAUACGUUCCCGGGCCUUGUACACACCGCCCGU